RNAcentral lists this ribosomal RNA (492 nucleotides) under uncultured bacterium. Its description in RNAcentral is "partial 16S ribosomal RNA". It matches the Rfam family "Bacterial small subunit ribosomal RNA", at positions 29 to 507 of the family's 1533-position model. The record is from RNAcentral.
AGUGAACGCUGGCGGUAGGCCUAACACAUGCAAGUCGAACGGCAGCACAGUAAGAGCUUGCUCUUACGGGUGGCGAGUGGCGGACGGGUGAGGAAUACAUCGGAAUCUACUUUUUCGUGGGGGAUAACGUAGGGAAACUUACGCUAAUACCGCAUACGACCUACGGGUGAAAGCAGGGGAUCUUCGGCCCUUGCGCGAUUGAAUGAGCCGAUGUCGGAUUAGCUAGUUGGCGGGGUAAAGGCCCACCAAGGCGACGAUCCGUAGCUGGUCUGAGAGGAUGAUCAGCCACACGGGAACGGAGACACGGUCCAGACUCCUACGGGAGGCAGCAGUGGGGAAUAUUGGACAAUGGGCGCAAGCCUGAUCCAGCCAUACCGCGUGGGUGAAGAAGGCCUUCGGGUUGUAAAGCCCUUUUGUUGGGAAAGAAAAGCAGCAGGUUAAUACCCCGCUGUUCUGACGGUACCCAAAGAAUAAGCACCGGCUAACUUCGUG